GCAUUCUUCAGCAGUGCAUUAAUUCAAUUUUUUUAAAAAAAAAUGUGAUGGGGGUUGAGGGGUGCAGUGAUUCUAAAAGGGUGACAUCUAGAAGACACAGAAAAUAUCCUGCCCACAUAUAAUAUAUAAUCUCCAGUUGAAGACAUAUUCUGCAGAGGCUCCAAUAUUGUGCUCUAGGCUUAUGGUUGGAGUAUGUGGUCUAUGAAACAAUCUGGGCAGUAGCUUGGUCUUUACAGUUUGGCACGGACACAGAUGUAGGGUAUAAAUCCUCUACAUCUGCAGAAACAAUAACUCACCUAUACUAUAUUAUAUACCGAUAUUGCACCAGGUACUUGUUGGAACGAACCAUCUGGGCCAAGACUAUCCCUGCAGUUUUAUCCAACCAAGUUUUAAGAUCCAUUCCAAAGACUGCACUUCAUCCUGGUAAUAAACUUACAGUGCAUUCAAUGGGUUCAAUAGGUGGAUUUUGGAGAUUCAGUCCAAGUUGCUGGAGUUUGUGCUAGAUGCCAUAAGAUUACUGGCACGAAGAUUUCCACAACUUCUAAACAACCUGUUUGCAACGCUAACCCUUUGAGCAUUUCAGCUGGGUCUCUUCAAGCUAUUGCAUUCAAUGGCAGUAUUCAAAACCAUGAUUUUGCUACCUUUAGAAAACUUUGAAAAGCUUAAAAAAAACCCACCCUGAAAUAAACGCAAAAUAGUUUCAAAUGACACCGUUGGAAAAGAUUCACUGAUAUUUUAUAGUUUGUGUUUACUGGCAAUUUCCGUAGACACAAAUUACCUUAAUGAGAUACAAGCUUUGUCAGGAGCAGUAGGUGCUGCCACACCAAAGUUCUGGAAGCUGUGAAUGACAAUGUAUUUAAAUGUAUAGAAAAUAAAUAAUUUGCCACAUCAGGACUGUCAAAAUGAAACAAGCCAGGCUGUGAUUAAAAGCCG
Molecule: long non-coding RNA, 933 nt
Organism: Rhineura floridana
Lineage: Eukaryota; Metazoa; Chordata; Lepidosauria; Squamata; Rhineuridae
Exons: 4
Source: RefSeq, a predicted model, not a curated record